UACGGAGGGUGCAAGCGUUGUCCGGAUUUAUUGGGUUUAAAGGGUGCGUAGGUGGGGUCUCAAGUCUGGUUUGAAAGUCGGCGGCUUAACCGUUGGAUGUGGCUGGAAACUGGGAUUCUUGAAUGCGCUGGCGGUAGCCGGAACGGGUCAUGUAGCGGUGAAAUGCAUAGAUAUGACCCAGAACACCGAUUGCGAAGGCAGGCUACUACGGCGUGAUUGACACUGAGGCACGAGAGCAUGGGUAGCGAACAGG
RNAcentral lists this ribosomal RNA (253 nucleotides) under uncultured bacterium. RNAcentral describes it as "partial 16S ribosomal RNA". It matches the Rfam family "Bacterial small subunit ribosomal RNA", at positions 524 to 776 of the family's 1533-position model. The record is from RNAcentral.